Molecule: ribosomal RNA, 469 nt
Filed under: uncultured bacterium
Lineage: Bacteria
Description: partial 16S ribosomal RNA
Rfam family: Bacterial small subunit ribosomal RNA
Source: RNAcentral
GACGAACGCUGGCGGCGUGCUUAACACAUGCAAGUCGAACGGAAAGGCCCUGCUUUUGUGGGGUGCUCGAGUGGCGAACGGGUGAGUAACACGGGAGUAACCUGCCCUUGACUUUGGGAUAACUUCAGGAAACUGGGGCUAAUACCGGAUAGGAGCUCCUGCUGCAUGGUGGGGGUUGGAAAGUUUCGGCGGUUGGGGAUGGACUCGCGGCUUAUCAGCUUGUUGGUGGGGUAGUGGCUUACCAAGGCUUUGACGGGUAGCCGGCCUGAGAGGGUGACCGGCCACAUUGGGACUGAGAUACGGCACAGACUGCGACGGGAGGCAGAAGUGGGGAAUAUUGCACCAGGGGCGGAAGCCUGAUGCAGAAACGCCGCGGGCGGGAUGACGGCCUUAGGGUUGAAAACCGAUUUCGCCUGUGACGAAGCGUGAGUGACGGUAAUGGGUAAAGAAGCACCGGCUAAAUACGUGC